Molecule: ribosomal RNA, 2775 nt
Filed under: Escherichia coli
Lineage: Bacteria; Pseudomonadati; Pseudomonadota; Gammaproteobacteria; Enterobacterales; Enterobacteriaceae
Description: bacterial LSU rRNA
Rfam family: Bacterial large subunit ribosomal RNA
Source: RNAcentral
AGCGUACACGGUGGAUGCCCUGGCAGUCAGAGGCGAUGAAGGACGUGCUAAUCUGCGAUAAGCGUCGGUAAGGUGAUAUGAACCGUUAUAACCGGCGAUUUCCGAAUGGGGAAACCCAGUGUGUUUCGACACACUAUCAUUAACUGAAUCCAUAGGUUAAUGAGGCGAACCGGGGGAACUGAAACAUCUAAGUACCCCGAGGAAAAGAAAUCAACCGAGAUUCCCCCAGUAGCGGCGAGCGAACGGGGAGCAGCCCAGAGCCUGAAUCAGUGUGUGUGUUAGUGGAAGCGUCUGGAAAGGCGCGCGAUACAGGGUGACAGCCCCGUACACAAAAAUGCACAUGCUGUGAGCUCGAUGAGUAGGGCGGGACACGUGGUAUCCUGUCUGAAUAUGGGGGGACCAUCCUCCAAGGCUAAAUACUCCUGACUGACCGAUAGUGAACCAGUACCGUGAGGGAAAGGCGAAAAGAACCCCGGCGAGGGGAGUGAAAAAGAACCUGAAACCGUGUACGUACAAGCAGUGGGAGCACGCUUAGGCGUGUGACUGCGUACCUUUUGUAUAAUGGGUCAGCGACUUAUAUUCUGUAGCAAGGUUAACCGAAUAGGGGAGCCGAAGGGAAACCGAGUCUUAACUGGGCGUUAAGUUGCAGGGUAUAGACCCGAAACCCGGUGAUCUAGCCAUGGGCAGGUUGAAGGUUGGGUAACACUAACUGGAGGACCGAACCGACUAAUGUUGAAAAAUUAGCGGAUGACUUGUGGCUGGGGGUGAAAGGCCAAUCAAACCGGGAGAUAGCUGGUUCUCCCCGAAAGCUAUUUAGGUAGCGCCUCGUGAAUUCAUCUCCGGGGGUAGAGCACUGUUUCGGCAAGGGGGUCAUCCCGACUUACCAACCCGAUGCAAACUGCGAAUACCGGAGAAUGUUAUCACGGGAGACACACGGCGGGUGCUAACGUCCGUCGUGAAGAGGGAAACAACCCAGACCGCCAGCUAAGGUCCCAAAGUCAUGGUUAAGUGGGAAACGAUGUGGGAAGGCCCAGACAGCCAGGAUGUUGGCUUAGAAGCAGCCAUCAUUUAAAGAAAGCGUAAUAGCUCACUGGUCGAGUCGGCCUGCGCGGAAGAUGUAACGGGGCUAAACCAUGCACCGAAGCUGCGGCAGCGACGCUUAUGCGUUGUUGGGUAGGGGAGCGUUCUGUAAGCCUGCGAAGGUGUGCUGUGAGGCAUGCUGGAGGUAUCAGAAGUGCGAAUGCUGACAUAAGUAACGAUAAAGCGGGUGAAAAGCCCGCUCGCCGGAAGACCAAGGGUUCCUGUCCAACGUUAAUCGGGGCAGGGUGAGUCGACCCCUAAGGCGAGGCCGAAAGGCGUAGUCGAUGGGAAACAGGUUAAUAUUCCUGUACUUGGUGUUACUGCGAAGGGGGGACGGAGAAGGCUAUGUUGGCCGGGCGACGGUUGUCCCGGUUUAAGCGUGUAGGCUGGUUUUCCAGGCAAAUCCGGAAAAUCAAGGCUGAGGCGUGAUGACGAGGCACUACGGUGCUGAAGCAACAAAUGCCCUGCUUCCAGGAAAAGCCUCUAAGCAUCAGGUAACAUCAAAUCGUACCCCAAACCGACACAGGUGGUCAGGUAGAGAAUACCAAGGCGCUUGAGAGAACUCGGGUGAAGGAACUAGGCAAAAUGGUGCCGUAACUUCGGGAGAAGGCACGCUGAUAUGUAGGUGAAGUCCCUUGCGGAUGGAGCUGAAAUCAGUCGAAGAUACCAGCUGGCUGCAACUGUUUAUUAAAAACACAGCACUGUGCAAACACGAAAGUGGACGUAUACGGUGUGACGCCUGCCCGGUGCCGGAAGGUUAAUUGAUGGGGUUAGCCGCAAGGCGAAGCUCUUGAUCGAAGCCCCGGUAAACGGCGGCCGUAACUAUAACGGUCCUAAGGUAGCGAAAUUCCUUGUCGGGUAAGUUCCGACCUGCACGAAUGGCGUAAUGAUGGCCAGGCUGUCUCCACCCGAGACUCAGUGAAAUUGAACUCGCUGUGAAGAUGCAGUGUACCCGCGGCAAGACGGAAAGACCCCGUGAACCUUUACUAUAGCUUGACACUGAACAUUGAGCCUUGAUGUGUAGGAUAGGUGGGAGGCUUGGAAGUGUGGACGCCAGUCUGCAUGGAGCCGACCUUGAAAUACCACCCUUUAAUGUUUGAUGUUCUAACGUUGACCCGUAAUCCGGGUUGCGGACAGUGUCUGGUGGGUAGUUUGACUGGGGCGGUCUCCUCCUAAAGAGUAACGGAGGAGCACGAAGGUUGGCUAAUCCUGGUCGGACAUCAGGAGGUUAGUGCAAUGGCAUAAGCCAGCUUGACUGCGAGCGUGACGGCGCGAGCAGGUGCGAAAGCAGGUCAUAGUGAUCCGGUGGUUCUGAAUGGAAGGGCCAUCGCUCAACGGAUAAAAGGUACUCCGGGGAUAACAGGCUGAUACCGCCCAAGAGUUCAUAUCGACGGCGGUGUUUGGCACCUCGAUGUCGGCUCAUCACAUCCUGGGGCUGAAGUAGGUCCCAAGGGUAUGGCUGUUCGCCAUUUAAAGUGGUACGCGAGCUGGGUUUAGAACGUCGUGAGACAGUUCGGUCCCUAUCUGCCGUGGGCGCUGGAGAACUGAGGGGGGCUGCUCCUAGUACGAGAGGACCGGAGUGGACGCAUCACUGGUGUUCGGGUUGUCAUGCCAAUGGCACUGCCCGGUAGCUAAAUGCGGAAGAGAUAAGUGCUGAAAGCAUCUAAGCACGAAACUUGCCCCGAGAUGAGUUCU